UCAUCACCACCAUUUUUCCUGAUUCUUUCGGGCAGUUGGUGUGUUCGGAAGAAAAUUCCGAGCGAGUUUGAAUUUCACCCUAUUUUGACCCCUCGGAAACCAAAAUUCCGAGGGGUUUUCUUU
Molecule: non-coding RNA, 123 nt
Organism: Moraxella cuniculi DSM 21768
Lineage: Bacteria; Pseudomonadati; Pseudomonadota; Gammaproteobacteria; Moraxellales; Moraxellaceae
Source: Rfam